AAUUGCUCAGCUGCUCAAAUUUCUGUGAAUGUUUUAUUCCCAAAAAUGUGUUCUUCAGUACCAAAAAAAAUGUUUUAUUCCCAAAAAAAAAUCUCAUCAAAGAUCGCCAACUCGAUGAUUCCAAAGUCACAAAAGUUUAUAAACAAAGGGAUAUAAUUAUAUGUCAAUAGUGAUACGGCUGAUUCAGUUUUACGGUUUUCUUUUCUUUUCAGUAGAGCUAUAUUUGAGACUAUACAGUUAUACAGGUGGGGAUUGUUGUCAGAAUUUUCUGAUGGCUAUUCUCUAUGUGUUCGAUAAUCAUCCCGAAUACUAUGGAGUCGUUGACAAGCUUCAAUCUCGAAAGCUUCCUUCGAUUCUCCUCUUACAGG
This is a long non-coding RNA of Papaver somniferum (opium poppy), 368 nucleotides long. RefSeq lists it as uncharacterized. The record is from RefSeq and is a predicted model, not a curated record. NCBI's taxonomy places the organism in Eukaryota, Viridiplantae, Streptophyta, Magnoliopsida, Ranunculales, Papaveraceae. The transcript is spliced from 4 exons.